This 566-nucleotide ribosomal RNA is filed under the name Solicoccozyma cf. aeria. Its description in RNAcentral is "LSU rRNA". It matches the Rfam family "Eukaryotic large subunit ribosomal RNA", at positions 104 to 656 of the family's 3401-position model. The record is from RNAcentral. Lineage: Eukaryota; Fungi; Basidiomycota; Tremellomycetes; Filobasidiales; Piskurozymaceae.
AAAGCUCAAAUUUGAAAUCUGGCAGCCUCAGGUUGUCCGAGUUGUAAUCUAUAGAAACGUUUUCCGCGCCGGCCCAUGUACAAGUCCCUUGGAACAGGGCGUCAUAGAGGGUGAGAAUCCCGUCCUUGACACGGACCACCGGUGCUUUGUGAUACGUUUUCAACGAGUCGAGUUGUUUGGGAAUGCAGCUCAAAAUGGGUGGUAAAUUCCAUCUAAAGCUAAAUAUUGGCGAGAGACCGAUAGCGAACAAGUACCGUGAGGGAAAGAUGAAAAGCACUUUGGAAAGAGAGUUAAACAGUAUGUGAAAUUGUUGAAAGGGAAACGAUUGAAGUCAGUCGUGUCUAUUGGACUCAGCCGGUUCUGCCGGUGUACUUCCUUUAGAUGGGGUCAACAUCAGUUUUGAUCGCUGGAAAAGGGCGGGAGGAAUGUAGCACUCUCGGGUGAACUUAUAGCCUUCCGUCGUAUACAGUGGUUGGGACUGAGGAACGCAGCAUGCCUUUAUGGCCGGGGUUCGCCCACGUACAUGCUUAGGAUGUUGACAUAAUGGCUUUAAACGACCCGUCUUG